This 1969-nucleotide long non-coding RNA is filed under the name Lactuca sativa (garden lettuce). RNAcentral describes it as "long non-coding RNA (LSAT_LNC000159)". The record is from RNAcentral. Lineage: Eukaryota; Viridiplantae; Streptophyta; Magnoliopsida; Asterales; Asteraceae.
GCAGCAACAUCACCAUCAUACAGGGACUAAGAACCCUAAUGGAAAAACAUCGCAUUUACAGGGCCAUAAAGGCCAAGAAUGGGCCACACGUCUUCUUCUAAAUUCUAAACUCUAAAGUCAUCCAAAAACAGAUCGGUUUUAAUAAACAAGUAACAGCAUCUCAGAAAUACUUUCCCCGUUGUUUUCUUCAUUAUGAAUCAAAGUGCAAGGAUGACGAAGUCUGAUUAUCAUCAUCGAUGCUAAUUCCAAUCCCACAUAAACAUCUAUAAACUAAAUUGUUCAGAUAUAAAAACAAUUUAAUGAAACCAGGAUAUAGAAGAAUCGUGAAUGCAACUCGUAUAAAAACACAAAAUGGAUCUAAGGAUAUUCAAUUAAUCAUUACGUAGAGGGAAAUAAAAUACGGGAGAUAUUAUAUAAAUGAAGGAUCUCAGGAAGUUUAAACUAUCAUCAGAUCCGAUUAAGGAAUUUACAGAUAGAUAACGCAGUUUCUUCAUAAGCAUCAUCGAUCCAACACUUGAAUAUUUAAUCCACAUAACAUUUAAUAAAUUUGUAAUAAAACGAAAGACAAGUAAAGAAAACAUGACAGAUUAAGAUCAACAUCAAGUAGCAUACGAUCAGCACCACCAUUAUAUGGGGACUAUGAACCCUAAUGGAAAAACAAUGCAUUUACAGGCUGUAACGGGACAGAAUGGGCCGCGCGUCUUCUUCUCCUAAAUUCUAAACUCUAAAGGCAUCCAAAAACAGAUCAGUUUUAAUAAACAAGUAAAUAAAUUGAUAUAUAUUUGGCAACGUAAAUGUAGAAGAAGAAAAAGCAUCUCUGAAAUACUUUCCCCGUUGUUUUCUUCAUUAUAAAUCAAAGUGCAAGGAUGACGAAGUCUGAUUAUCAUCAUUGAUGCUAAUUCCAAUCCCACAUAAACAUCUAAAAACUAAAUUUGUCAGAUAUAAAAGCAAUUUAAUCAAACCACGAUAUAGAAGAAUCGUGAAUACAACUCGUAUAAAAACACAAAAUGGGUCCGAGGAAAAUCAACUAAUCAUUACAUAGAGGGAAAUAAAAUACGUGAUACAUAUUAUAAAAAUGAAGGAUUUCAGGAAAUUUAAACUAUCAUCAGAUCCGAUUAAGGAAUUUGCAGAUAGAUAACGCAGUUUCUUAUUAAGCAUAACCCAGUUUCUUAUUAAGCAUAACGCAGUUUCUUAUUAAGCAUCAUCGAUCCAGCGCUUGGAAAAUUUUAUCAACAUAACAUUUAAAAAAUUUGUAACAAAACAAAAAACAAGUAAAGAAAACAGGAUAGAUUGAGAUCAACAUCAAGUAGCAUACGAUCGACUUAAGAACGGAUCCUGAUGAUUUUUUUUUGAUAGAUUUAAAACGCAAGUUGUAUACUUAUUUGAGCACCAACAUCACCAUUAUACGGGGACUAUGAACCUUAAUGGAAAAGACCAAAACCAUGAACCCUAAUGGAAAAGACCAGAAUGGGCCGCCCUUCUUCUUCUAAAUUCUAAACUCUAAAGUCAUCCAAAAACAGAUCGGUUUUAAUAAUAAUAAUAAUAAUAACUAGAAAAAAUCCGUCGCGCCGUUGGCGCAGGGUCGAAAAAAUAGUCUAAAUGGCAAUGUACUUUUCUUGAUUUUUUUGCAUUCACCUUCAAAAUAGAUCAGACAAUUUAAAUUUUUUUUGAACUUUCUGGAUUGGUUCCAAACUAAAUCAGAAUAUUCUAAUAAAACAAACUUAAUUUACAAUUUCAGUAAAAUGUAGACGAAAAAUCAUUUUUUUAAUGUCAAAAGAAUCCGCUAGAAACCAAACCUGUUUCAUAUAAUAAUUCCACAACCUUCUUCGCCUCAGUCACUUCUUUCUGCUGCGGUUUUACAUGCAGCCUGCAAGCAACAUUAACACACACAUAUGGAGACGAGAGGGAUACCCGCGGCGAGCAGGGAAGGGAUGGCGAGACAACAGAAGCAGCAGCGAUGGAAGAGAAC